UGAGGAAGGAGAAAGGGUCACCUCGUAUCGGGAGAAGCUGAUGCGUGUGCAGUGGGUCGCUACCGGUGACCAGCUGAGAUCGUCGGUGGCAUCGCUCCUGUCAUCUGACUUCGCAGGCGGGUGAAAUCGGUGUACUGGAGUGGUUGCCAUUGAGUGCAGCAUAUCAAAGUAUCAAUAAUGGCCUACGCAAUUCAUGCCCGGGAGGAUUCUGAAACUAACUGCAAACGGGUAGCAGCAUCUCACUAAUUGCUCUUCCUUUGAUGGCGCCCUUGUCUCUGCUUGUGUAGAUACCAUCCAAAAACCUAUUGACAUUCUUCUUCUUCACAGGGCAUAUCUCCUGCAUCCGGCCAGGCUAGUGUAUCCCUGCAUCCGGUGCGCUCCAGCCAUACGAUUAGCAUCUCACGAAUCUGCUCUAUUUCAGCAAAUUUUGCAUUGAAGCGCCUGCGUUUAGCCUACUUAUUUUCCUAAGUACCCCCCGAACAUCCAAAGCAUCACAAACUGAAUCACCCCCAAAUCCCUAUGUCAAAUCCCUAUGUUGGCUCUUCCCCAAGCCGGCGAGAUGGUCCGUCAGUCGUCACCAAGAGAUGCAUCCCCGGAAAAUCCACCCGCGCUUGCCAUUGCCGGAAGCGAGAUGCCAUUUGACGGCCCCAGCGUGGUCUGCCGCGGCCAGUACAGCUCAAGGGUACAGGACGUGAUUGUACAUCGUUGGUGAAUAUUGAUCUUUCAGAAAGAAGUGAAGAAGUUGUUGUGAAUGGUAAUUUCAGAAAGAAACAAUUUCUUAUUGUCUAGUUUCUAUUGGCAACUUGAGCUGUUCUUACAUGAACUCAAUAUCACUUAAUCACUCCAUGGUAAUUGAGGCCUUGUAUGUAUGCUUAUGUGAAUGUUCAGUUCAAUGAUAAUUCAGUGAUAAUGGAGAGCCAUAGUAA
Long non-coding RNA from Brachypodium distachyon (stiff brome), 926 nucleotides. RefSeq lists it as uncharacterized. NCBI's taxonomy places the organism in Eukaryota, Viridiplantae, Streptophyta, Magnoliopsida, Poales, Poaceae. The transcript is spliced from 2 exons. The record is from RefSeq and is a predicted model, not a curated record.